CCUGCGGAAGGAUAUUA
This 17-nucleotide ribosomal RNA is filed under the name Thelephora terrestris. RNAcentral's name for it is "partial 18S ribosomal RNA". The record is from RNAcentral. Lineage: Eukaryota; Fungi; Basidiomycota; Agaricomycetes; Thelephorales; Thelephoraceae.